Malania oleifera is the source of this 553-nucleotide long non-coding RNA. RefSeq lists it as uncharacterized. The record is from RefSeq and is a predicted model, not a curated record. Lineage: Eukaryota; Viridiplantae; Streptophyta; Magnoliopsida; Santalales; Ximeniaceae. The transcript is spliced from 2 exons.
AUCAAUUCUCCAAUCUGUGAGGGCACUCUCUACAAAACCGGUUUAUUGUAAUUGAAAUAUCCACAAAGCUCUCUCGACUCUCCGAUCUCAGCGGUGUCUUUCAACAAUCCAACCAAGGGGCCAAGCCCAACACUCCCACUUGCGGCAUAAUUCUUUAUGUGUUUUCCGUGAAAAAAAGUUGUUUGGUUGCCCAGAAACUGUGCGGAGAAAGUUCUCUUCAUUCUCAAGUUAUUCUUUGUUAAUUACAAUUGGCAACUCAAUUGAGUCAUUCGCUGUUCAUUUGCUGUUGCUAGUGAAACAAACCUGCAAGGAUUUAUGAUAUGGAAAAUAAUCCCCUUUGUUUGCUCCCCAUUAUGUGCAAGCUUUUUCUCACUGCUCUGCGCGCGCGUUAGAAGCAUAGGCACUGUACCACCGAAGGUCUGCAGAUCACCAUAGAUGCUUUUAUUUUCAGUUAUUUAAUCCAAUCUUGAUUCUACAAUUUAUUUUGUCAAUUCUUUGGAUUGAAUUUAAACACUUGGUUCUGAUUCAAUAUCAACUAGCUUGAAUUUCUAAA